Molecule: ribosomal RNA, 742 nt
Filed under: uncultured bacterium
Lineage: Bacteria
Description: bacterial SSU rRNA
Rfam family: Bacterial small subunit ribosomal RNA
Source: RNAcentral
AGAGUUUGAUCCUGGCUCAGAAUGAACGCUGGCGGCAUGCCUAACACAUGCAAGUCGAACGAGACCUUCGGGUCUAGUGGCGCACGAGUGCGUAACGCGUGGGAAUCUGCCCCUUGGUUCGGAAUAACAGUUGGAAACGACUGCUAAUACCGGAUGAUGACGUAAGUCCAAAGAUUUAUCGCCGAGGGAUGAGCCCGCGUAGGAUUAGGUAGUUGGUGUGGUAAAGGCGCACCAAGCCGACGAUCCUUAGCUGGUCUGAGAGGAUGAUCAGCCACACUGGGACUGAGACACGGCCCAGACUCCUACGGGAGGCAGCAGUGGGGAAUAUUGGACAAUGGGCGAAAGCCUGAUCCAGCAAUGCCGCGUGAGUGAUGAAGGCCUUAGGGUUGUAAAGCUCUUUUACCCGGGAUGAUAAUGACAGUACCGGGAGAAUAAGCUCCGGCUAACUCCGUGCCAGCAGCCGCGGUAAUACGGAGGGAGCUAGCGUUAUUCGGAAUUACUGGGCGUAAAGCGCACGUAGGCGGCUUUGUAAGUAAGAGGUGAAAGCCCAGAGCUCAACUCUGGAAUUGCCUUUUAGACUGCAUCGCUUGAAUCAUGGAGAGGUCAGUGGAAUUCCGAGUGUAGAGGUGAAAUUCGUAGAUAUUCGGAAGAACACCAGUGGCGAAGGCGGCUGACUGGACAUGUAUUGACGCUGAGGUGCGAAGGCGUGGGGAGCAAACAGGAUUAGAUACCCUAGUAGUCC